GCGCUGGCGAUCUCCAUUUCACUGUGAAAAUGAGUGUUUCAGCUAUUUCCUGAAACCGCACUUUCACAAUAUCUUAAUUACUUGGGACACUUGCUUGUCAAACAUGAUGACUUCAAAACAUGUGAUGUGCUCCAGUGAGGACAGGCAGCUAUUGAUUUUCCGUGUCAUCUAAAGAAAGAAAAUACCACUUUCAUACAGUCUCCUCCAGUGCUGUGAAAUACCGUCAUCAAUGAUCAUUCACAGUGUGCAGGUGUGGGAACAUGAACUGCUUCUUCCUGCCAAUCUCUCCAUCUAUUCUAAAAGGCAGUUUUUCUCCACCUCUUUCUUCUUUUCUUCCAGCAUAACAGCGAGCAAUUACCCAUAUAUUGGCGAGGUCUAGCGAUGGCAUGAUUGCUAUAACAGUCCAGUCGUCACACCAGCAUGUGCCCUCUGUUCAUGAAGUCAGAAGGUCUGAGAUGCUGGAAUUAUGUGCCCUGGGGACAUAUGAACGGAGACUCAUCAGCCUUGAAGUUGCAAGCACAAGUUACAUGGGCUCUAGAGCUUAAAGUUGAAGUCCCAUAUCUGGCAUGUAUUUAAAUAUGCAGAAUCCCACCCAUCUGCAGAGUUUAAGCAAAGACAGGGUGGACUACUGUAAUGGUCUCCUCACCGGCCUUCCCAAGAAGACCAUUAGACAGCUGCAGCUCAUCCAGAACGCUGCUGCCAGGAUUC
Cyprinus carpio carpio is the source of this 708-nucleotide long non-coding RNA. The record is from Ensembl. NCBI's taxonomy places the organism in Eukaryota, Metazoa, Chordata, Actinopteri, Cypriniformes, Cyprinidae.